This 206-nucleotide ribosomal RNA is filed under the name uncultured bacterium. Its description in RNAcentral is "partial 16S ribosomal RNA". It matches the Rfam family "Bacterial small subunit ribosomal RNA", at positions 1288 to 1500 of the family's 1533-position model. The record is from RNAcentral.
UCAGUUCGGAUUGGAGUCUGCAACUCGACUCCAUGAAGCUGGAUUCGCUAGUAAUCGCGCAUCAGCCAUGGCGCGGUGAAUACGUUCCCGGGCCUUGUACACACCGCCCGUCAAGCCAUGGGAGUCGGGAGUGCCUGAAGUUCGUGACCGUAUAGGAGCGACCUAGGGCAAGACUGAUGACUGGGGCUAAGUCGUAACAAGGUAAC